Molecule: ribosomal RNA, 839 nt
Filed under: Metarhizium koreanum
Lineage: Eukaryota; Fungi; Ascomycota; Sordariomycetes; Hypocreales; Clavicipitaceae
Description: partial 28S ribosomal RNA
Rfam family: Eukaryotic large subunit ribosomal RNA
Source: RNAcentral
AUUGCCCCAGUAACGGCGAGUGAAGCGGCAACAGCUCAAAUUUGAAAUCUGGCCCCCAGGGCCCGAGUUGUAAUUUGCAGAGGAUGCUUUUGGCGAGGUGCCUUCCGAGUUCCCUGGAACGGGACGCCAUAGAGGGUGAGAGCCCCGUCUGGUUGGACGCCGAGCCUCUGUAAAGCUCCUUCGACGAGUCGAGUAGUUUGGGAAUGCUGCUCUAAAUGGGAGGUAUAUGUCUUCUAAAGCUAAAUAUUGGCCAGAGACCGAUAGCGCACAAGUAGAGUGAUCGAAAGAUGAAAAGCACUUUGAAAAGAGAGUUAAAUAGUACGUGAAAUUGUUGAAAGGGAAGCGCUCAUGACCAGACUUGGGCCCGGUGAAUCAUCCAGCGUUCUCGCUGGUGCACUUUGCCGGUGCCCAGGCCAGCAUCAGUUUGCCCCGGGGGAUAAAGGCUCUGGGAAUGUGGCUCCCUAGGGAGUGUUAUAGCCCAUUGCACAAUACCCUGUGGCGGACUGAGGUUCGCGCAUCUUGCAAGGAUGCUGGCGUAAUGGUCAUCAGCGACCCGUCUUGAAACACGGACCAAGGAGUCGUCUUCGUAUGCGAGUGUUCGGGUGUCAAACCCCUACGCGUAAUGAAAGUGAACGCAGGUGAGAGCUUCGGCGCAUCAUCGACCGAUCCUGAUGUUCUCGGAUGGAUUUGAGUAAGAGCAUACGGGGCCGGACCCGAAAGAAGGUGAACUAUGCCUGUAUAGGGUGAAGCCAGAGGAAACUCUGGUGGAGGCUCGCAGCGGUUCUGACGUGCAAAUCGAUCGUCAAAUAUGGGCAUGGGGGCGAAAGACUAAUCGAACC